Molecule: unclassified non-coding RNA, 176 nt
Filed under: uncultured Umbelopsis
Lineage: Eukaryota; Fungi; Mucoromycota; Umbelopsidomycetes; Umbelopsidales; Umbelopsidaceae
Description: sequence contains ITS1
Source: RNAcentral
CCAAAAGAUAAUCUUUCAACUCGAAAGAUCUUUUCCUUUGUGCUGGCUUUGACCGUAUGUAAUUUUGGGACUUAAACAUGGUAGGCCUUACGGUUUACCGGUCCCAAAAACAAUAUAUCAUCCUUAUGAAAAACUUACUGAACAACUAAACAAUGAUUUUAAUAAUCUGUUUAAAA